AAAGCGGAGGAAAAGAAACUAACAAGGAUUCCCCUAGUAACGGCGAGUGAACCGGGAAGAGCUCAAAUUUGAAAUCUGGCGUCCUCAGGGCGUCCGAGUUGUAAUCUAUAGAGGCGUUUUCCGUGCCGGACCGUGUCCAAGUUCCUUGGAACAGGAUAUCAAAGAGGGUGACAAUCCCGUACUUGACACGACGACCGGUGCUCUGUGAUACGUCUUCUACGAGUCGAGUUGUUUGGGAAUGCAGCUCAAAAUGGGUGGUGAGUUCCAUCUAAAGCUAAAUAUUGGCGAGAGACCGAUAGCGAACAAGUACCGUGAGGGAAAGAUGAAAAGCACUUUGGAAAGAGAGUUAAACAGUACGUGAAAUUGUUGAAAGGGAAACGAUUGAAGUCAGUCGUGACCGAGAGGCUCAGCCGGUUCUGCCGGUGUAUUCCCCUCGGUCGGGUCAACAUCAGUUUUGUCCGGUGGAUAAGGGCGGUAGGAAGGUGGCACCCUCGGGUGUGUUAUAGCCUGCCGUCGCAUACAUCGGGUGAGACUGAGGAAUGCAGCUCGCCUUCAUGGCCGGGGUUCGCCCACGUCCGAGCUUAGGAUGUUGACAUAAUGGCUUUAAACGACCCGUCUUG
Molecule: ribosomal RNA, 620 nt
Filed under: Papiliotrema laurentii
Lineage: Eukaryota; Fungi; Basidiomycota; Tremellomycetes; Tremellales; Rhynchogastremaceae
Description: eukaryotic LSU rRNA
Rfam family: Eukaryotic large subunit ribosomal RNA
Source: RNAcentral